Molecule: ribosomal RNA, 274 nt
Filed under: uncultured bacterium
Lineage: Bacteria
Description: partial 16S ribosomal RNA
Rfam family: Bacterial small subunit ribosomal RNA
Source: RNAcentral
AUACGGAGGGGGUUAGCGUUGUUCGGAAUUACUGGGCGUAAAGCGCGCGUAGGCGGAUUGGUAAGUUAGAGGUGAAAUCCCGGGGCUCAACCCCGGAACUGCCUUUAAUACUGCCAGUCUUGAGUUCGAGAGAGGUGAGUGGAAUUCCUAGUGUAGCGGUGAAAUUCGUAGAUAUUAGGAGGAACACCAGUGGCGAAGGCGGCUCACUGGCUCGAUACUGACGCUGAGGUGCGAAAGCGUGGGGAGCAAACAGGAUUAGAAACCCUAGUAGUCC